UGGAUGACCAUGUGCAUACCUCCAUUCCUUAGGAAGAUCUUGAUUUCUCGUUGGAGGUUGAUCUUCUUCACCUUGCUGAAUUGUAUUUUCUUUGAUCUCGUCCUCAUGUUGUUUGUCUUGUAUGGAGAAUUCCUUCAUUCUGUCUUCAAGUAUACCUGCAUCACCAUCUUCUUCUUUUCUAGAAGAAUCUCCAUUAGCUUCAUCAAAAACAACAUGAAUGGAUUCUUC
RNAcentral lists this long non-coding RNA (228 nucleotides) under Phoenix dactylifera (date palm). Its description in RNAcentral is "long non-coding RNA (PDAC_LNC006813)". The record is from RNAcentral. Lineage: Eukaryota; Viridiplantae; Streptophyta; Magnoliopsida; Arecales; Arecaceae.